This 468-nucleotide ribosomal RNA is filed under the name uncultured bacterium. RNAcentral describes it as "partial 16S ribosomal RNA". It matches the Rfam family "Bacterial small subunit ribosomal RNA", at positions 28 to 507 of the family's 1533-position model. The record is from RNAcentral.
GACGAACGCUGGCGGCGUGCUUAACACAUGCAAGUCGAACGGAAAGGCCCUGCUUUUGUGGGGUGCUCGAGUGGCGAACGGGUGAGUAACACGUGAGUAACCUGCCCUUGCCUUUGGGAUAACUUCAGGAAACUGGGGCUAAUACCGGAUAGGAGCUCCUGCUGCAUGGUGGGGGUUGGAAAGUUUCGGCGGUUGGGGAGGGACUCGCGGCUUAUCAGCUUGAUGGUGGGGUAGUGGCUUACCAAGGCUUUGACGGGUAGCCGGCCUGAGAGGGUGACAGGACACAUUGGGACUGAGAUACGGCCCAGACUCCUACGGGAGGCAGCAGUGGGGAAUAUUGCACAAGGGGCGGAAGCCUGAUGCAGCAACGCCGCGUGCGGGAUGACGGCCUUCGGGUUGUAUUCCGCUUUCGCCUGUGACGAAGCGUGAGUGACGGUAAUGGGUAAAGAAGCACCGGCUAACUACGUG